Molecule: long non-coding RNA, 1451 nt
Organism: Dermacentor silvarum
Lineage: Eukaryota; Metazoa; Arthropoda; Arachnida; Ixodida; Ixodidae
Exons: 6
Source: RefSeq, a predicted model, not a curated record
CCAGGUGCCGCCUGCCAUGACCAACAUGGCUGUCACCCCGAGCGACAAUUUCAGUAGAAUUUCUGCACUCAGAUUCGAAAUAUCCCGCGCAAUGUGCGUCCGCGUUGUUUUUCUGUUUGGAGUAGCCGCGCUAGCGCUGCAGGCGCUGCAGAGAAUGCCGCGCCAAACCCGAAACUACGCCACCGUACCGAAACUUUCGAAACGCCGCGCCGACGGGUCUUCGGAGUGCGCGCGCUCGAAGCGACCAAGCGGCAGCCAUUACCACCAGCGUCGGCGCAUUGUUCUGCCGUCGUUGGUGUCUCCCGCAGUUUCGAACAGCCAAGACUCCACGACUGCAGCCGUUUCAUUGCCAGCUGUAAGGAUGAAGCAGCUUCAUAGCCGGACAUCAGACGCCUUCCAAGUUCCCCUUUUCAGCAACAGAGGCAUAGGAUGCCAUUCUACCUGUGCUGCAUUGUGUGGCUGACCACUCCUAGGAUCUCAGCAGAAUCAUUACACAGUUUCAGAAGCCACAAUUGCCUGGCAUGCUGUCUGGUCAUGAUGCGUGGCUACAAUGCACAACCUUUUGAGGAUUCCAGACUGUACACAACACUUGUGGCCUAGUUUGCCGGAUGCAUAUUAUGCCGAAGUCCUGCUGACCCCAAGCAUGGUGUGAAAUGAAGAAAUGGCACUCCACAUCCAUAGAGAGCUUGAUUUCCCCUGUUUCAUGCUUACUUGUUGGCAUAGCCAGUCUGUUAGCUUAAUUUUUGGUUCUUCCCUAUUGAAUGCUCAAGAAAGGCACCAAAACUGUCAUUCAUUGAAAAAAAGUUGUUUGCAGACACUGCCAUGCACAAAGCCCUUGACCUCAUUGAAUGUUUUUAAAAGAAAAUGCAGCUUCUGUGUGCAGCAAUAGGCUGAACAAGACGAGGGCAAACAGGAAGGUUGCGACAUUAGUGUUCAAGAGUUGGCCAACAAAGAAGGUCACAAGCUGAAGCCAACAUCUUUACAACGGAACAAAUGGAUUUAGCCUGAGCCAUUCCCUGUUCGACCAGCCAAGUCUCUUUGUCGAAACAUGUGCUCUAGCCUAAGGCGUACAUAUCCCGUUCUACCACUCUCGAUCAACGAUACACCAAUACAAUUAGCAACUCGUGGCAAGGUCGUAAAUUCACGUGGUGUGCACCCUGUAGUGUAGUGUGCACCCUGCAAAGUAGCAUGAAUAGUAUGGUAUUUACUUGAAUGAAAUGCAGAUUUGCUUGCCAGUUACUUUAUUCCCAUGCUAUAAUUGGAAAGCAUGGUUCCUAAGAGAGAAUAAUGAUUUGAAGUUCACACAGUUUUGCUCCUUUAUGUAAGUUCACACUGUUACGGUUGCUACACUACCAGUCCUGUCUGCAACUGCAUAGUAGUGUUCCGAGUACGCAGCCCAAUUCAAUAGAAAAGGUAGGCUUUUUCCUCAGAAAAUGUGCUGCUGCCUCACA